RNAcentral lists this ribosomal RNA (405 nucleotides) under bacterium. Its description in RNAcentral is "partial 16S ribosomal RNA". It matches the Rfam family "Bacterial small subunit ribosomal RNA", at positions 355 to 776 of the family's 1533-position model. The record is from RNAcentral.
UAAGGAAUAUUGCGCAAUGGGGGAAACCCUGACGCAGCAACGCCGCGUGGAGGAUGACACUUUUCGGAGCGUAAACUCCUUUUAUCAGGAAAGAAUAAUGACGGUACCUGAUGAAUAAGCACCGGCUAACUCCGUGCCAGCAGCCGCGGUAAUACGGGGGGUGCAAGCGUUACUCGGAAUCACUGGGCGUAAAGGACGCGUAGGCGGAUUAUCAAGUCUUUUGUGAAAUCUAGUGGCUUAACCACUAAACUGCUUAGGAAACUGGUAGUCUAGAGUAGGGGAGAGGUAGAUGGAAUUCUUGGUGUAGGGGUAAAAUCCGUAGAGAUCAAGAAGAAUACCCAUUGCGAAAGCGAUCUGCUGGAACCUAACUGACGCUGAGGCGUGAAAGCGUGGGUAGCAAACAGG